Molecule: ribosomal RNA, 369 nt
Filed under: uncultured bacterium
Lineage: Bacteria
Description: bacterial SSU rRNA
Rfam family: Bacterial small subunit ribosomal RNA
Source: RNAcentral
CCUAACACAUGCAAGUCGAACGGUAACAGGAAACAGCUUGCUGUUUCGCUGACGAGUGGCGGACGGGUGAGUAAUGUCUGGGAAACUGCCUGAUGGAGGGGGAUAACUACUGGAAACGGUAGCUAAUACCGCAUAACGUCGCAAGACCAAAGAGGGGGACCCUCGGGCCUCUUGCCAUCGGAUGUGCCCAGAUGGGAUUAGCUUGUUGGUGGGGUAACGGCUCACCAAGGCGACGAUCCCUAGCUGGUCUGAGAGGAUGACCAGCCACACUGGAACUGAGACACGGUCCAGACCCCUACGGGAGGCAGCAGUGGGGAAUAUUGCACAAUGGGCGCAAGCCUGAUGCAGCCAUGCCGCGUGUAUGAAGAA